RNAcentral lists this ribosomal RNA (408 nucleotides) under uncultured bacterium. RNAcentral's name for it is "partial 16S ribosomal RNA". It matches the Rfam family "Bacterial small subunit ribosomal RNA", at positions 29 to 526 of the family's 1533-position model. The record is from RNAcentral.
AGUGAACGCUGGCGGCAUGCCUAAUACAUGCAAGUCGAAGGAAGUGGCGCACGGGUGAGUAAUAUAUAGCUAAUCUGCCCCUUGCUGGAGGACAACAGUUAGAAAUGACUGCUAAUACUCCAUAGCAAGGGAUGAGACUAUAUCGUAUCAGCUAGUCGGUGGGGUAACGGCCUACCGAGGCUAUGACGCGUAACUGGUCUGAGAGGAUGAUCAGUCACAUUGGAACUGAGACGCGGUCCAAACACCUCCGGGAGGCAGCCGUAGGGAAUAUCGCGCCACGGGGGAAACCCUAACGCAGCAACGGCGCGUGGAGGACGACACUUUUCGGAGCGUAAACUCCGUUUUUUAGGGAAGCGGUACCUAACUAAUAAGCACCGGCUAACUACGUGGCAGCAGCCGCGGUAAUUC